GCACGCACAGAGCGCCAUCUUAGGGCCCACCCCCCUGUCUCUCUGUCCUCCCUCUCCUUCCUGGGCUUCUUCCUGCCUUCUCACUGUCAAGCUGCUGAAGUCUUCAAACAAGGAAACUCAGGAAGGUGUACACUUGCAUUUCAGAAGCUGCAGGAGUGUGCAGGUUGGACCAAGGGACGACAUGCUAAAGCCAACAUGUAGAUCAGAAAACUCUUUAGAAAAGUGUUCCGAGUCCACCACUUCAGAGGACUGACUAUCAGGAAAUAAAGUAAGGUUCAUGCCUAGAACCUCAGCAUUUCAGUUUUGGAGGCAAGAGGAUCUCAAGAAUUCAAGGUCAUCCUUGGCUCUACAGAUAGUUCAAGGCCAGCCUGGACUAUAUGCCUGCCCUCAAAAAAAAAACCACAAAAGCAAGGCUUUGCUGAUGGCUCAGCAGAUAAGAGUGCACAAGCAUGAGGAUGGGAGUUCAAGUCCCCAGCACCCAUAAACUUGCUGCUGCUAUGAUAACCUGCACAAGGUCAGGGUAGCAUGCUUGAUCAACAUUCUAAUAGAGGGUACUAGUUAGACUCAGUGGCAUGGGGGGGGGAGAGAGAGAGAGAGAGAGAGAGAGAGAGAGAGAGAGAGAGAGAAGAAGGAGGAGGAGGAGGAGGAGAAGCAGCGGCAGCAGCAAGUGAUAGGGGGGGUCUUGGCAACAAUGGGAGGAGCUCAGGAGGAGAUAUGAUUACAUUUGUUGGUUACACUUAUCAAAGAAUAAAUAAAAAGAUGUUUUAAGAAACAA
Molecule: long non-coding RNA, 775 nt
Organism: Rattus norvegicus (Norway rat)
Lineage: Eukaryota; Metazoa; Chordata; Mammalia; Rodentia; Muridae
Source: RefSeq, a predicted model, not a curated record